GUCCCGGCGCGCCUGUAGAGGGAGACCGAGCGAGCCAAUCCGAGGCGGCGAGGAGGAGCCGGUCUGGAGCGCCGAGCUGUCAUCCGCGUUCCCUGUCAGCUCACGAGUGAUCCGGGAGAGAGAUUGGGCUAUCCUAUUAUUGAUUCGGAAAAACAAGUCGUCCUGUCACUGACAGCCUCGGAAUCUGUUUGUGCCUAGAUUUUGAUGAGGAAGCUGAGGCACAGGAGUGACAAUUCUACAUUUUGAAGUGCCAGAAUGGGGACCUAGGCAUCUACAUCUGGGACCUGUAUGCCAUCCUCUAAAGAUAUAGCCUAGAGCUACCGCUUCUCCCAGUCUGUCAUACAUUUAUAGGCCUUAAAAACUACAAACCGGCCGGGCGGUGGUGGCGCAUGCCUUUAAUCCCAGCACUUGGGAGGCAGAGGCAGGUGGAUCUCUGUGGGUUUGAGGCCAGCCUGGUCUACAUAGCAACUUCCAGGACAGUCAAGGCUGUUACACAGAGAAACCUGUCUCAAAAAAACAAAACAAAAAAACAGGCAGAAAGAUGGCUCAGUGGAUAAAGUACUUGCUGUAAAGGCAUGAACACCUGAGUUUGGAUCCUCAGAGUUCAUGUAAAGCCAGCCACAAUUAAACUCAUCUGUAAGCUCAGUAUUCCUGUGACAACAGAAUCCUUGGAAGCAUGUGGGCCGGUUAUCCCAGACACUGAACAGACCUGAUAUGACUAAACAGGUAAAAUAACUUGCUGUGCAACCCUAACGACCUGAGUUUAACCUAACCUAAGUCAAGAUAGGUGAUAACUGACUCCAUACAUGUGUGCCCCUCAUGUGUGCUUGGUGCCCACUGAGGUCAGAAGAAACCUAUCAAAUCCCCUGGAAAUGAAGAUGGUUGUGAUCAACAUGUGGUUACUCAGAACAAGAGCAACAAGUGCUCUUAACCUCUGCCAUUUUUUCCAGGCCUAUCAUAAGUUUCUAUGAAUCCCAGGCCAGCCAAGGUUAUAUAGAAAAACCCUGUCUCAAAACUAAAAACUGAAAAUAAAGAAGAAACUUUGUGUCAAACAUGGUGGAAAUAAGGACCAACACCUGAGGCUGUCCCAUGAAUAUGUGCCUACAUCUACACACACACACACACACACACACACACACACACGGAC
Cricetulus griseus (Chinese hamster) is the source of this 1147-nucleotide non-coding RNA. Lineage: Eukaryota; Metazoa; Chordata; Mammalia; Rodentia; Cricetidae. The record is from RefSeq and is a predicted model, not a curated record.